This 459-nucleotide ribosomal RNA is filed under the name Pseudoramibacter alactolyticus. Its description in RNAcentral is "bacterial SSU rRNA". It matches the Rfam family "Bacterial small subunit ribosomal RNA", at positions 28 to 488 of the family's 1533-position model. The record is from RNAcentral. Lineage: Bacteria; Bacillati; Bacillota; Clostridia; Eubacteriales; Eubacteriaceae.
GACGAACGCUGGCGGUAUGCUUAACACAUGCAAGUCGAACGAGAAGUCUUUUAUUGAACCUUCGGGGGAUAUAAGAGACAGACAGUGGCGAACGGGUGAGUAACGCGUGGGCAACCUACCUAUCGGAGCGGGAUAGCCUCGAGAAAUCGGGAGUAAAACCGCAUAACACGGAUAUAUCGCAUGAUGAAUCCGUCAAAACUCCGGUGCCGAUAGAUGGGCCCGCGUCUGAUUAGCUAGUUGGUAAGGUAAGGGCUUACCAAGGCAACGAUCAGUAGCCGGUCUGAGAGGGCGAACGGCCACACUGGAACUGAGACACGGUCCAGACUCCUACGGGAGGCAGCAGUGGGGAAUAUUGCGCAAUGGGGGCAACCCUGACGCAGCAAUACCGCGUGAGUGAAGAAGGUUUUCGGAUCGUAAAGCUCUGUUAUUGGGGAAGAAGCAGGACGUACCCAAUGAGAG